CGCCUGUUUAUCAAAAACAUGUCCUAUAGUUUAUUUUUUAGGUCUGACCUGCUCAGUGAUUUUUAAACAGCCGCAGUACUUUAACUGUGCUAAGGUAGCAUAAUAAUUAGUCUUUUAAUUGGGGUCUGGAAUGAAUGGUUUGACGAGGGGAGUACUUUAUUAAUAAUAUUUAUUUGAAUUUAUUUUUCUAGUUAGAAUUCUGGAAUAUUAAAGAGGGACGAUAAGACCCUAUAGAUCUUUACAAUUUUCUUUUUAUUUAUUUUUUUUGUUGUUUUUUUAUAUUGAGGGGGGGUUUUGUUUUGUUGGGGUGACAUUUAAAAUUUUAAACUUUAGUUUUUUUUUACAUUUUUCAAUGUAAUUAUUGAUCUUUAUAUUUUGAUUAGGAGAAUAAGAUACCUUAGGGAUAACAGCGUUAUAUACUUGGAGAGUUCAAAUCUAUAAGUGUGUUUGCGACCUCGAUGUUGGAUUAAAGUUAAUUUAUGGGGUAGGUUUUAUAUAAUUGGGUCUGUUCGACCUUUAAAACU
Molecule: ribosomal RNA, 524 nt
Filed under: Kervillea conspurcata
Lineage: Eukaryota; Metazoa; Arthropoda; Insecta; Hemiptera; Issidae
Description: partial large subunit ribosomal RNA
Rfam family: Bacterial large subunit ribosomal RNA
Source: RNAcentral